This 492-nucleotide ribosomal RNA is filed under the name uncultured bacterium. RNAcentral's name for it is "partial 16S ribosomal RNA". It matches the Rfam family "Bacterial small subunit ribosomal RNA", at positions 29 to 507 of the family's 1533-position model. The record is from RNAcentral.
AGUGAACGCUGGCGGUAGGCCUAACACAUGCAAGUCGAACGGCAGCACAGUAAGAGCUUGCUCUUACGGGUGGCGAGUGGCGGACGGGUGAGGAAUACAUCGGAAUCUACUUUUUCGUGGGGGAUAACGUAGGGAAACUUACGCUAAUACCGCAUACGACCUACGGGUGAAAGCAGGGGAUCUUCGGACCUUGCGCGAUUGAAUGAGCCGAUGUCGGAUUAGCUAGUUGGCGGGGUAAAGGCCCACCAAGGCGACGAUCCGUAGCUGGUCUGAGAGGAUGAUCAGCCACACUGGAACUGAGACACGGUCCAGACUCCCACGGGAGGCAGCAGUGGGGAAUAUUGGACAAUGGGCGAAAGCCUGAUCCAGCCAUACCGCGUGGGUGAAGAAGGCCUUCGGGUUGUAAAGCCCUUUUGUUGGGAAAGAAAAGCAGCAGGUUAAUACCCCGCUGUUCUGACGGUACCCAAAGAAUAAGCACCGGCUAACUUCGUG